Molecule: unclassified non-coding RNA, 200 nt
Filed under: soil metagenome
Description: partial contains internal transcribed spacer 2 and large subunit ribosomal RNA
Source: RNAcentral
GCGUCAUUAUCAACCAUCAAGCCUGGCUUGUCGUUGGACUCUGGUCGUUCAAAAGACCGGUCCAAAAGAUAAUGGACGGGACCUGUUGGCCCUAGAUGCAACGAGCUUUACAGCACGCAUCGAAAGGUCGCCGGCCCCGUCUUUAAACCCCAUUUUCUCAGGUUGACCUCGGAUCAGGUAGGAAUACCCGCUGAACUUAA